AAAAGAUUUAUCAUAUUUUAAGAACUGAGUAUAAGAAAGCAAGCAGGGACUGAGAUGGUGCAGUGGUAAAGAACUCUUGCUGCUCUUACCUUGGACCUGAGUUCAGUUCCCAGCACCCAUGUCACAGCUGUCACUCCCUCUCCAGGGAAUCUAGUGCCCUCUACUGGCUUCCAAGGGCACUGCACUCACAUACACAAACUCAAGCCAACAAACAAUAUACACACAUAGUAAAAGUAAAGGAAUCUUGAAGCAAGCAACCCAAUUAAAAAGACAUUAUUUUGUGUGUAUGGGUAUUUUACCUACACAUAUUUUACCUACCACUUGCAUGUUUGGUGCCCACAGAGACCAGUAAAGGUUGUCAGAUCCCUUAGAACUGGAGUUGCAGAUGGUUAUAAGCUGCCAUGUGGGUGCUGGGAAUUGAACCCAGGUCCUCUGGAACAGCAGCUAGUGCUCUUAACCACUGAGCCAUCUCUUCAGCCCUUCAACACAAUUUAUUAUUUUUCCUUUAAAUACUUAUUUAUUAUGUGUACAGUGUUCAGCUUGCAUGUAUGCCUGUAGGCCAGAAGAGGGCACCAAAUCUCAUUAUAUAUGGUCGUGAGCCACCAUGUGGUUGCUGGGAAUUGAAGUCAAGACCUUUGGAAGAGCUGGCAGUGCUCUUAACCGCUGAGCCAUCUCUCCAGCCCCUUCAACACAAUUUAAAAGUAAAUAUUUGAACAGAUGUCUGCUGAAGUUUUCUUGUCCCACCAGGUCCCACUGCCCUUCUCAGCCCCAAAUAAACACAGAGACACUAUAUUAGUUAUUAAACUGUUGGCCGAUGACUAGGGCUUCUUACUGGCUAACUCUGUCCUAAUUAUUAACCCGUUUCUAUUAAUCUAUGUAUUUCCACAUGGUCUUGGCUUACCAGGCCUUCUACUUCUUUGUCAACUACAUGGUUCUGGCGGGUUCCCUCUGCCUAUCUUUCUCAGAAUUCUGCUCACCUCCUAGUUCCACUUAUCUUACUGCCUCAUUGACCAAACAGUGUUUAUUCAUCAGCCAAUAAGAGAAACAUGUAUACAGAAGAACAUCCCCAUCACAGACUCUUCAUCAAAAAAGAUGCACAGGAGCUGUCAAGAUGGCACAGUGGGGGGCUGGAGAGAUGGCUCAGAGGUUAAGAGCACUGGCUGCUCUUCCAGAGGUCCUUAGUUCAAUUCCCAGCAAACACAUGGUGGCUCACAACCAUCCGUUAUGAGAUCUGGUCCCCUCUUCUGGUGUGCAGAUAUACAUGGAAGCAGA
This 1272-nucleotide long non-coding RNA is filed under the name Cricetulus griseus (Chinese hamster). Its description in RNAcentral is "lncRNA (ENSCGRG00015043462.1)". Lineage: Eukaryota; Metazoa; Chordata; Mammalia; Rodentia; Cricetidae. The record is from RNAcentral.